ACGGGAGGCAGCAGUGAGGAAUAUUGGUCAAUGGGCGGAAGCCUGAACCAGCCAAGUCGCGUGAAGGAUGAAGGUAUUAUGUAUUGUAAACUUCUUUAGCAGUGGAGUAAUAAGGAGGAUGUAUCCUCUGAUGCAAGUACACUGAGAAUAAGCAUCGGCUAACUCCGUGCCAGCAGCCGCGGUAAUACGGAGGAUGCAAGCGUUAUCCGGAUUUAUUGGGUUUAAAGGGUGCGUAGGCGGAUGAUUAAGUCAGUGGUGAAAGGUCCCGGCUCAACCGGGGAGCUGCCAUUGAUACUGGUCGUCUUGAAUGCGGAUGCCGUGGGAGGAAUGUGUGGUGUAGCGGUGAAAUGCAUAGAUAUCACACAGAACACCGAUUGCGAAGGCAUCUCACGAAUCCGUUAUUGACGCUGAGGCACGAAAGCGUGGGGAUCAAACAGGAUUAGAUACCCUGGUA
Molecule: ribosomal RNA, 454 nt
Filed under: uncultured Paludibacter sp.
Lineage: Bacteria; Pseudomonadati; Bacteroidota; Bacteroidia; Bacteroidales; Paludibacteraceae
Description: partial 16S ribosomal RNA
Rfam family: Bacterial small subunit ribosomal RNA
Source: RNAcentral